RNAcentral lists this ribosomal RNA (240 nucleotides) under uncultured bacterium. Its description in RNAcentral is "partial 16S ribosomal RNA". It matches the Rfam family "Bacterial small subunit ribosomal RNA", at positions 98 to 339 of the family's 1533-position model. The record is from RNAcentral.
GCGGACGGGUGAGUAACGCGUAGGAAUCUGCCCAAUAGUGGGGGAUAGCCCAGAGAAAUUUGGAUUAAUACCUCAUAGUAUUAUAGAUUGGCAUCGAUUUAUAAUUAAACAUUUAUGGGUAAGAGAUGGCUAUGCGUCCUAUUAGUUAGUUGGUAAGGUAACGGCUUACCAAGACAGCGAUAGGUAGGGGUCCUGAGAGGGAGACCCCCCACACUGGUACUGAGACACGGACCAGACUCC